Molecule: transfer RNA, 77 nt
Filed under: Nitrosomonadaceae bacterium
Lineage: Bacteria; Pseudomonadati; Pseudomonadota; Betaproteobacteria; Nitrosomonadales; Nitrosomonadaceae
Also listed under: 1 other name
Description: tRNA-Val
Rfam family: tRNA
About the family: Transfer RNA (tRNA) molecules are approximately 80 nucleotides in length. Their secondary structure includes four short double-helical elements and three loops (D, anti-codon, and T loops).
Source: RNAcentral
AGGCGCGUAGCUCAGUUGGUUAGAGUACCACCUUGACAUGGUGGGGGUCGUUGGUUCGAAUCCAAUCGCGCCUACCA